This 564-nucleotide ribosomal RNA is filed under the name Triticum aestivum (bread wheat). RNAcentral's name for it is "partial small subunit ribosomal RNA". The record is from RNAcentral. Lineage: Eukaryota; Viridiplantae; Streptophyta; Magnoliopsida; Poales; Poaceae.
AUGGCUAAUCAAGAAGAUUUUAAUGCUUAUUUUGGUAGACAAUUAAAAUAUAAUUCAAAUAUGCUUGGACACUUGGGUGAUUAUAUGGCUAAUGUCAAAGGUGAACUUAAACUUAUUAGUAAACAUGCUUCUAUGGUUACCACUCAAGUAGAACAAGUACUUAAAGCUCAAAAUGAUUUGCUCAAUGAAUUGAAUAGUAAAGAUAAUGAUUAUGCUGUUAGAGUGGCUACUAGAACUGGUAGAAUGACUCAAGAACCUUUGUAUCAUGAAGGCCAUCCUAAGAGAAUUGAGCAAGAUUCUCAGAGAAAUAAUAUAGAUGCACCUAGUUCGUCUAAAAAGAAGAAAAAGAAAAAUGAUAGGACUUUGCAUGCUUCUAGUGAUCCUAUUGUUGAAACACAUGAGAAUCCAAAUGAUAUUUCUAUUUCUGAUGCUGAAACUCAACCUGGUAAUGAACCUGAAACUAUUGAUAAUGCUAAUAAUAUUGUUCAUAAUGAUGCUCAACCUAGUAAUGAUAAUGACAUAGAAAUUGAACCUGCUAUUGAUCUUGAUAACCCACAAUCAUAA